CCCCUUUCCUAUCACUAGAAACAUCAGUUGCACCGCCUAUAACAGCGGCCAGAGAAGUUUUCCGCUGCCUGGGCCCAACAGCUGGAAGCAGGCAACCUUUGAAAUUAGAAGAGAAAUUAAGAUUUGGAGACGAACAUCUAAAGGAGAAGAGAGAAGGAGAUUGAGCUCGAAAGGCAGUUGAGGAAGAAGCUGUUACUGGCAAAAAGCAAGAAAUCUGGACAGUCGAAGAAGCUAAUUC
RNAcentral lists this unclassified non-coding RNA (238 nucleotides) under Hevea brasiliensis (rubber tree). Lineage: Eukaryota; Viridiplantae; Streptophyta; Magnoliopsida; Malpighiales; Euphorbiaceae. The record is from RNAcentral.